Molecule: long non-coding RNA, 1241 nt
Organism: Lutra lutra (Eurasian river otter)
Lineage: Eukaryota; Metazoa; Chordata; Mammalia; Carnivora; Mustelidae
Exons: 5
Source: RefSeq, a predicted model, not a curated record
GAUGUCUCUCUCUGUGUCAAAUAAAUAAACAAAAUCUUAAAAAAAAAAAAAGAAAUUCACUUCAAAUUAAGUGACAGGGAAAGUUUGAAAAUAAAUGAUUUGGUAGAUAUAUGUCAGGCAAAUCCAAAACCAGGAGUAACAAUAUUAAUAUCAAAUUCAAGGCCAAAAACAUUUAAUAGGAACAAGAGGAUGGAAUGAUUAAGAGCAGAGUGGCAGAGAUUGCUAGAUGCCUAUGCCAUCCAUGCCCAUCCCUCUUUCACCCUCGCUAACAAAACCCCAAUUUAAUUUGGCACAGCAAUGUGUAGAGAUAAAAACAAAUUAAUUUUCCCAUCCUCUUUUACAAUGAGGGGUAGACAGUAACUUGUAAGCAGAAGUUAGUGGGUGGGGCUGCAGACAUCUAAUUAAGCUGGAAGCUACUCCUUUCUACCUUCUCCUUUUUCCUCUUUCAUGACUGGAAUAUAUAUAUGAUGGCUGGAGCUGCAGAAGCCAUUUUGCAAUCAUGAGUUGGAGAAUGGAUGCCACAAACUAAAAGGUAGCAGAGCAGGAAGACAAGUGGAGCUUGCUUUCCAGAUGACCAUGGAGCCACUACACCAGUCCUCAACUUUUUACCACCAGGGAGGUCAGAUGUCUCAUGCUGCCCUCAGCCUCGUGAUGGGAAGACAUGCCACAAAGUAAUUUUAAAGGAUAAAGAAGGAUUAAGAAGAACAGAGAAGGGGCUCUGAAGAAAAUGGAACAUAUGAAACCAGCAAUCUUUCUUUCCACCAUUUCCAUCUUUCGGUGGUUCCUGGAAAGUCUAACCACAGGCUUGCAUAAGUCAGAGCCUUUCUUACUACCGUGAGUACGGGAGACAUUUCCAUGGCCUUUCAUGGUGUGCAAGGUUGAAGAUCAGGAUUUAUAACACAGAACAAAUGUGGCCUGAUCACAAAGUGCAUCUGGACCAAAAAGUGUCCUGAAGUGGGCGGCAAGUUCAUUUUCCGAAGUCCGCUUUCUUUUAUGUGGACUUGCGUUAAGAAAAAAUUGGUAGAAUGAUAUGAAGAAUGUAAACAUUCAUGAAACAAAAAGAAUAUAUUUAAAAGGACAUAAUUCCUCAAGAAACUUCACAACAUUUCUUCAUAUGCAUAGGAUAGUCAAACAUUGUGAGGCCAUCAAGACUAGAAUGGAAACCAGUCACACCUCUUGAUGAAGACUCCAGAGAGGAGAAUUGAAGAAUUGAAAAACAGAGAAGCUAACACUUACCUUAU